This 22-nucleotide microRNA is filed under the name Strongylocentrotus purpuratus (purple sea urchin). RNAcentral's name for it is "Spu-Mir-375_5p* (star (passenger))". The record is from RNAcentral. Lineage: Eukaryota; Metazoa; Echinodermata; Echinoidea; Camarodonta; Strongylocentrotidae.
GCACGAGCUCAACGUGCAAAAC